GGGGAUGUAGCUCAGUGGUAGAGCACAUACUUUGCAUGUAUGAGGCCCCAGGUUUGAUCACUGGCAUCUCCU
This is a transfer RNA of Loxodonta africana (African savanna elephant), 72 nucleotides long. It matches the Rfam family "tRNA". Rfam says of the family: Transfer RNA (tRNA) molecules are approximately 80 nucleotides in length. Their secondary structure includes four short double-helical elements and three loops (D, anti-codon, and T loops). Further hydrogen bonds mediate the characteristic L-shaped molecular structure. tRNAs have two regions of fundamental functional importance: the anti-codon, which is responsible for specific mRNA codon recognition, and the 3' end, to which the tRNAs corresponding amino acid is attached (by aminoacyl-tRNA synthetases). tRNAs cope with the degeneracy of the genetic code in two manners: having more than one tRNA (with a specific anti-codon) for a particular amino acid; and 'wobble' base-pairing, i.e. permitting non-standard base-pairing at the 3rd anti-codon position. The record is from Rfam. Lineage: Eukaryota; Metazoa; Chordata; Mammalia; Proboscidea; Elephantidae.